CUACGUGCCAGCAGCCGCGGUAAUACGUAGGGUGCGAGCGUUAAUCGGAAUUACUGGGCGUAAAGCGAGCGCAGACGGUUACUUAAGCAGGAUGUGAAAUCCCCGGGCUCAACCUGGGAACUGCGUUCUGAACUGGGUGACUAGAGUGUGUCAGAGGGAGGUAGAAUUCCACGUGUAGCAGUGAAAUGCGUAGAGAUGUGGAGGAAUACCGAUGGCGAAGGCAGCCUCCUGGGAUAACACUGACGUUCAUGCUCGAAAGCGUGGGUAGCAAACAGGAUUAGAUACCCUGGUAGUCCACGCCCUAAACGAUGUCAAUUAGCUGUUGGGCAACUUGAUUGCUUAGUAGCGUAGCUAACGCGUGAAAUUGACCGCCUGGGGAGUACGGUCGCAAGAUUAAAACUCAAAGGAAUUGACGGGGGCCCGCACAAGCGGCGGAGCAUGCGGAUUAAUUCGAUGCAACGCGAAGAACCUUACCAAGGCUUGACAUGC
RNAcentral lists this ribosomal RNA (489 nucleotides) under uncultured bacterium. RNAcentral describes it as "bacterial SSU rRNA". It matches the Rfam family "Bacterial small subunit ribosomal RNA", at positions 501 to 989 of the family's 1533-position model. The record is from RNAcentral.